AUGUCGCUCAGUGAGUUGGUGGCAAUUUUGUGUGGAACCACACAAUUUAAGAAAAAAGAGACGUUUUUGGAUAACAUGCGAAAUCAGUUGAUUCAAGACCUAGUGAACAAAGACGCCGAGACUUUCAAACCAGUAUACGAUUUUCAUAAUGCUGUCAAAGCGGAGAGAGAUCUGGACCAAGAGAGAAUGGAAAAGUCUACACUGCCCCUGAUUGACGCAUUCAAAGAUAUCAAGAAAGAAAGCAGUUUGAAUAACGUUGAAAAUUUGAAGAACUUGGAUCUAUCCUCCUUCAAAAAGAAAAUGAUCGCAUUUGAGAAAGAGCUCUCAGAUUUGGAUCAAAUGUUUACCAUUACUUUAAAAAAACUAAGCGUGGAGAGUGAUGAGCUUGAGGAAGAAAUUGGUGAGUUGCAGCGGAAUUUAGAGCCAGUAGACGCGCUUGGCACGGCUGUUUUGAAACCCUUCAGUAUUUCUACAAUCCCUCCUGCGAUUGCCUCCAAAUACCCGGAAGUUGAGCAGUUUCAGAAAUAUUUGAAGGACUGGGGUGGCCAUUCAGGAGGCUGGACGGAUGAGGACCACGAAGUUUUUCUGCGACUGAGGGCCAAACAUAACCCCAACAGUGUGGCCUAUUAUUUACGUCAAGAAAUGCCAGAUAUCAGUGCAGCAGAGGUUGCGCGGCAUGAGUCUUGGUACCAGGAGUAUUGCGCUCUCAAAGCUGCCCAACAAGGGCCAUCAACGAUUGGCGGGAAUCUCAAAAUUUGUCGAAAAAAGUUGAUCUACAUCAAGCGGCCAUCGAAUCUCCACCUCCUGCUCCUUCCCCGGUGAAAAAAAGGGACCCCCAGCGAUCAAGGAAAAGAUUCAAGCUUGGAAGGAAGCUAAACAAGCAAGCUGAGGCAGACAGAGAGAAAGAAGGUUGUAUGGAUGGAAAAAAAAGAAGAUCUGAAGAGGAAGCAAGGAGUAUCAAAACAGGUACGGUGAGUUUGAGUUUGUGAAGAUUGU
Molecule: long non-coding RNA, 996 nt
Filed under: Bemisia tabaci
Lineage: Eukaryota; Metazoa; Arthropoda; Insecta; Hemiptera; Aleyrodidae
Description: lncRNA ENSSWEETPG004912
Source: RNAcentral